GGUACUCGAGUGGCGAACGGGUGAGUAACACGUGGGUGAUCUGCCUUGCACUUCGGGAUAAGCCUGGGAAACUGGGUCUAAUACCGGAUAGGACCAUGCUUUAGUGUGUGUGGUGGAAAGUUUUUUCGGUGCAAGAUGAGCCCGCGGCCUAUCAGCUUGUUGGUGGGGUAAUGGCCUACCAAGGCGACGACGGGUAGCCGGCCUGAGAGGGUGUACGGCCACAUUGGGACUGAGACACGGCCCAGACUCCUACGGGAGGCAGCAGUGGGGAAUAUUGCACAAUGGGCGCAAGCCUGAUGCAGCGACGCCGCGUGGGGGAUGACGGCCUUCGGGUUGUAAACUCCUUUCGCUAGGGAAGAAGCCACUUGUGGUGACGGUACCUGGAUAAGAAGCACCGGCUAACUACGUGCCAGCAGCCGCGGUAAUACGUAGGGUGCGAGCGUUGUCCGGAAUUACUGGGCGUAAAGAGCUCGUAGGUGGUUUGUCGCGUCGUCUGUGAAAUCCCGGGGCUUAACUUCGGGCGUGCAGGCGAUACGGGCAUAACUAGAGUGCUGUAGGGGAGACUGGAAUUCCUGGUGUAGCGGUGAAAUGCGCAGAUAUCAGGAGGAACACCGAUGGCGAAGGCAGGUCUCUGGGCAGUUACUGACGCUGAGGAGCGAAAGCAUGGGUAGCGAACAGGAUUAGAUACCCUGGUAGUCCAUGCCGUAAACGGUGGGCGCUAGGUGUGGGGGUUUUAUUUACGAUUCCCGUGCCGUAGCUAACGCAUUAAGCGCCCCGCCUGGGGAGUACGCCGCAAGGCUA
RNAcentral lists this ribosomal RNA (801 nucleotides) under uncultured Actinomycetes bacterium. RNAcentral describes it as "bacterial SSU rRNA". It matches the Rfam family "Bacterial small subunit ribosomal RNA", at positions 86 to 896 of the family's 1533-position model. The record is from RNAcentral. Lineage: Bacteria; Bacillati; Actinomycetota; Actinomycetes.